This 433-nucleotide ribosomal RNA is filed under the name uncultured bacterium. Its description in RNAcentral is "partial 16S ribosomal RNA". It matches the Rfam family "Bacterial small subunit ribosomal RNA", at positions 29 to 507 of the family's 1533-position model. The record is from RNAcentral.
AACGAACGCUGGCGGCAUGCCUAACACAUGCAAGUCGAACGAAACCAUCGGGUCUAUUGGCGCACGGGGUUGUAACGCGUGGGAACCUUCCCUUAGGGUCGGCAUAACUCUCCGAAAGGGGUGCUAAUACCGGAUAAUGUCUUCGGACCAAAGAUUUAUCGCCUUUGGUUGUGCCCGCGUUGGAUUAGCUAGUUGGUAGGGUAAAAGCCUACCAAGGCGAGGAUCCAUAACUUGUUUGAGAGAAUGAUCAGCCACACUGGGACUGAGACACGGCCCAGACUCCUACGGGAGGCGGCAGUGGGGGAUAGUGGACAAUGGGCGAAAGGAUGAUGCAGCAAUGCCGCGUGAGUGAUGAAGGCCUUAGGGUUGUAAAGCUCUUUUAACCGGGAUGAUAAUGACAGUACCGGGAGAAUAAGCUCCGGCUAACUACGUG